GAUACCCUAUUAUUAUGAUUGUUAAUUUUGUCUUUAUUUAUUAAUAGAUAAGUUCUUUAAAAUUAAAAGAUUUGGCGGUAUUUUAGUCUGUUCAGAGGAACCUGUUAUUUAAUUGAUGGUCCACGAUAAUUUUUACUUUAGUUNUUAAUUUACAUAUCGUCGUUUAUAAAAAUUUUAUUAGAAUAUUAAUUUUUAUUGUUUUUUAUUAUUUUUUAUUUCAGAUCAAGGUGUAGUUUAUAUUGAAGCUAUAAUGGGUUACAUUACUAGUAAGUUUGGGUUUUUAUUUUAAAAUUAUUAAUAAAUUGGAUUUGAGAGUAAAAUUUUUAUUUAUGAGAUUUGAUAUAGCUCUAAAAUAUGCACACAUCGCC
This 368-nucleotide ribosomal RNA is filed under the name Menimus setosella. RNAcentral's name for it is "partial 12S ribosomal RNA". Lineage: Eukaryota; Metazoa; Arthropoda; Insecta; Coleoptera; Tenebrionidae. The record is from RNAcentral.